UGAGGAAUAUUGGUCAAUGGGCGAUGGCCUGAACCAGCCAAGUAGCGUGAAGGAUGACUGCCCUAUGGGUUGUAAACUUCUUUUAUAAAGGAAUAAAGUCGGGUAUGCAUACCCGUUUGCAUGUACUUUAUGAAUAAGGAUCGGCUAACUCCGUGCCAGCAGCCGCGGUAAUACGGAGGAUCCGAGCGUUAUCCGGAUUUAUUGGGUUUAAAGGGAGCGUAGAUGGAUGUUUAAGUCAGUUGUGAAAGUUUGCGGCUCAACCGUAAAAUUGCAGUUGAUACUGGAUGUCUUGAGUGCAGUUGAGGCAGGCGGAAUUCGUGGUGUAGCGGUGAAAUGCUUAGAUAUCACGAAGAACUCCGAUUGCGAAGGCAGCCUGCUAAGCUGCAACUGACAUUGAGGCUCGAAAGUGUGGGUAUCAAACAG
Molecule: ribosomal RNA, 423 nt
Filed under: uncultured bacterium
Lineage: Bacteria
Description: bacterial SSU rRNA
Rfam family: Bacterial small subunit ribosomal RNA
Source: RNAcentral